RNAcentral lists this ribosomal RNA (485 nucleotides) under Pichia kudriavzevii. Its description in RNAcentral is "eukaryotic LSU rRNA". The stretch from base 109 to 261 matches the Rfam family "5.8S ribosomal RNA". The record is from RNAcentral. Lineage: Eukaryota; Fungi; Ascomycota; Pichiomycetes; Pichiales; Pichiaceae.
GGCGUUCCUGUGAUUUGUACUACACUGCGUGAGCGGACGAAAACAACAACACCUAAAAUGUGGAAUAUAGCAUAUAGUCGACAAGAGAAAUCUACGAAAAACAAACAAAACUUUCAACAACGGAUCUCUUGGUUCUCGCAUCGAUGAAGAGCGCAGCGAAAUGCGAUACCUAGUGUGAAUUGCAGCCAUCGUGAAUCAUCGAGUUCUUGAACGCACAUUGCGCCCCUCGGCAUUCCGGGGGGCAUGCCUGUUUGAGCGUCGUUUCCAUCUUGCGCGUGCGCAGAGUUGGGGGAGCGGAGCGGACGACGUGUAAAGAGCGUCGGAGCUGCGACUCGCCUGAAAGGGAGCGAAGCUGGCCGAGCGAACUAGACUUUUUUUCAGGGACGCUUGGCGGCCGAAAGCGAGUGUUGCGAGACAACAAAAAGCUCGACCUCAAAUCAGGUAGGAAUACCCGCUGAACUUAAGCAUAUCAAUAAGCGGAGGAA